UCUUACCCAGACUCCAUGCUCGUGACUCACAAGAAAACCUUGAUUCUUGAUUGAUCAAAUCAAGUCUUCUCAAUAUCAAUGGAACUUGCGUGUUGAUAAGGUGAAAGCCAUAAUCCACAAAAAAGGAUGAUUGAUCUUGACAAUGACUUGAUUCAUCCCUUGACCUCGAUCUCAGACAUCUUCCUCCGCUCGUGGUCGAUGAAGAUGCAACUUCGUACGCGUUGCGUUUGAGAUGAAGACAGAGACCUUACGUUCAUGAAGGUAUCGACGUCACAUCGCGAUGAAGACAAGGUGGAGACGUUCGCGAUGAAGACUCCUGAUUCGUGCAUUUGCCGAGACCGGAACGCACCUCGUGACGACGCCUCCUCCUCUCUCGAGCCUUGCCUCCAUCUUCACGCCGUCCACGCAGCACCUCUGCUUUCGUCAAUCCUUUGUGGCAUCGCACUUCCAUCUUCGUUUCGUGCUCCAUAUCCAAACGCGGCGAACCACAUGAAGAAUGGCGCUCCAAUCAUCAACUCACAUUCCGAACUCACCGUCACUGACUCCGAUCAAGAUCACAACCGUACACACUAAAAAUAAAAAACGGCGUCAAAAACGGAUCGAGGAACUCACCUGAAUGAAGCUUCAAUUGUAAAUAGAUUGCGGUGGAUCAAACUCUACAUCGCAGAAGGUGGAUGCCAAAUGAAGAUGAAGAACAAAUGUGGAAUGAAGAAUAAGAACAAAUGCAGGACGCAGAAAUAUGUAAUAUGCAGGACGCUGAAGAACGAAAUAUGCAGAACGAAGGAGAAGGAAAUAUGCAGAACGCGGAAGAAAGAAAUAUGCAGAACGAAAAUACCCCCCAGAAUGUGAUGAAUGUGGGGCGCUUUGGACUUUUAGGUAGAGCUUGUAAUCCUCAUUUGCUCGAAUUUGAUCAAAGUGAACCCGACGGUAUCGAUUUCUGCCUCUGCACUAAGGGGCCUUCGCUGAACCUUUACUAUGCCCAUCAAUUAGUAUCUUCAUUCCCUGUUUUUUGAGUUGACAUGUAUUUGACAGUUGAAAUUCUUUUUGGUCAUGGCAAGAUGUGUUUCCUGCAGCAGUGUCUUUACAAGACAGAUUUGCUUGGUGUCAAGCCUCCCCAUUGAUAGUGUAGGAUGUUACUUGCAUAGGCCAAGUAUUCCCUUCAAAGAUAGUGUUAAUGGAUGACCUGGUUAUACAGAUUUACAAGAUGAUGGUAUGCUGAACUUUUCAUUUGGCUUGGGUUUGAUGGUUACCGUUAAGGAAUUACGGUGGUGCUAGUGCUUCCGCGUCUGACAAGAACAAUAGUUUUGUAACUUAUUAGCAAUCUAAAAUAACUGAUUAAUAAAAUAUUAGGAAGUGAAAUGCAUAGAAAAAGAUAUGCAGAAGUCUCCUUUCAAUUUUGAACAA
Lathyrus oleraceus (garden pea) is the source of this 1404-nucleotide long non-coding RNA. RefSeq lists it as uncharacterized. The transcript is spliced from 4 exons. The record is from RefSeq and is a predicted model, not a curated record. NCBI's taxonomy places the organism in Eukaryota, Viridiplantae, Streptophyta, Magnoliopsida, Fabales, Fabaceae.